UGGCGGCGUGCAUAACACAUGCAAGUCGAGCGAGGAGCUUGCUCUCAGCGGCGAACGGGUGAGUAACACGUGGGCUACCUGCCCCAAGCUCUGGAAUAACCCCGGGAAACCGGGGCUAAUGCCGGAUUGACAUCGCUGGGCAUCUGGUGGUGUGGAAAGAUUUAUCGGCUUGGGAUGGGCCCGCGGCCUAUCAGCUUGUUGGUGGGGUAAUGGCCUACCAAGGCGACGACGGGUAGCCGGCCUGAGAGGGCGAUGGCCACACUGGGACUGAGACACGGCCCAGACUCCUACGGGAGGCAGCAGUGGGGAAUAUUGCGCAAUGGGCGAAAGCCUGACGCAGCGACGCCGCGUGAGGGAUGACGGCCUUCGGGUUGUAAACCUUUUCAGCAGGGACGAAGCGAGAGUGACGGUACCUGCAGAAGAAGCACCGGCCAACUACGUGCCAGCAGCCGCGGUAAUACGUAGGGUGCAAGCGUUGUCCGGAAUUAUUGGGCGUAAAGAGCUCGUAGCGGCCUGUCGCGUCGGCUGUGAAAACCCGGGGCUCAACCCCGGGCCUGCAGUCGAUACGGGCAGGCUAGAGUCCGGUAGGGGAGACUGGAAUUCCUGGUGUAGCGGUGAAAUGCGCAGAUAUCAGGGGAACACCGGUGGCGAAGGCGGGUCUCUGGGCCGGAACUGACGCUAAGGAGCGAAAGCGUGGGGAGCGAACAGGAUUAGAUACCCUGGUAGUCCACGCCGUAAACGUUGGGCGCUAGGUGUGGGGGACUUCCACGGCCUCCGUGCCGCAGCUAACGCAUUAAGCGCCCCGCCUGGGGAGUACGGCCGCAAGGCUAAAACUCAAAGGAAUUGACGGGGGCCCGCACAAGCGGCGGAGCAUGUGGCUUAAUUCGAUCAACGCGAAGAACCUUACCAGGGCUUGACAUGCAGAGAAAUCUCAUAGAGAUAUGGGGUCCUUAGGGGCUCUGCACAGGUGGUGCAUGGCUGUCGUCAGCUCGUGUCGUGAGAUGUUGGGUUAAGUCCGCAACGAGCGCAACCCUUAUCCUAUGUUGCCAGCGCGUCAUGGCGGGGACUCAUAGGAGACUGCCGGGGUCAACUCGGAGGAAGGUGGGGAUGACGUCAAGUCAUCAUGCCCCUUACGUCCUGGGCGCACACAUGCUACAAUGGCCGGUACAAAGGGCUGCGAUGCCGUGAGGUGGAGCGAAUCCCAAAAAGCCGGUCUCAGUUCGGAUCGGGGUCUGCAACUCGACCCCGUGAAGUCGGAGUCGCUAGUAAUGCAGAUCAGCAUUGCUGCGGUGAAUACGUUCCCGGGCCUUGUACACACCGCCCGUCACGUCACGAAAGUCGGUAACACCCGAAGCCGGUGGCCCAACCCUUGUGGGGGGAACCGUCCAA
RNAcentral lists this ribosomal RNA (1389 nucleotides) under Parafrankia elaeagni. Its description in RNAcentral is "bacterial SSU rRNA". It matches the Rfam family "Bacterial small subunit ribosomal RNA". Lineage: Bacteria; Bacillati; Actinomycetota; Actinomycetes; Frankiales; Frankiaceae. The record is from RNAcentral.